This is a small nucleolar RNA of Takifugu rubripes (torafugu), 82 nucleotides long. Ensembl annotates it as small nucleolar RNA SNORD100. Its record names the gene SNORD100. The record is from Ensembl. Lineage: Eukaryota; Metazoa; Chordata; Actinopteri; Tetraodontiformes; Tetraodontidae.
UGCAUCACUGAUGAUGAUCUGGCUCCCUCUACUGAAUAUUGUGAGGAAAGUGCCACUGUUACCCAAUGUUGUCUGAGAUGCA